RNAcentral lists this long non-coding RNA (543 nucleotides) under Bos taurus (domestic cattle). Its description in RNAcentral is "long non-coding RNA NONBTAT007564". The record is from RNAcentral. Lineage: Eukaryota; Metazoa; Chordata; Mammalia; Artiodactyla; Bovidae.
ACCUUAAAGCACUUAUAUUUCUUUUAGCAUGUCUUCUUGGCAAAUGUUUCAGAAUUGAGAUUUACUCAGCACUUUUACUUGGUAGAAGUGAUCGUAUAAAAUUAAGGAGUAUGUAAACAAUUUAGGAGAAAAGUAUCUUUAAGGAGCAAUUCAAAAAAUAUGCUUUAAAUCGUUAGAUGACCUGUGUGAAUAGGACUUUUAGGCAUUAUAAGUUAUUAUCGUCAGUUUAACUGAAAAGUGUUUCAUUUUCUAUUUUACUGAGCCUUAAAAUAGCACUUGGAGCUUGUGAAAUUCGAUGUUUGGCAGUCAUGUGUGCAAAUGAAUAUGACUGAAAAUCUCUUUGUACCUGUAUGUCAUCUGGUCUAAAAGGAUUUUGUAUCUCUUCAUUCCCCCAGAAAAAUUUAAAGCUGUAAGUUAAGAGUAUACCACUGGGUAACACCAAUCCAGUUGAGCUUUAUGCAUUAUUAUUCAUAAACCAUGUCUUCCUUUCCUAAGUAUUUCAAGGGCCAAACUUGAUACUUGCUUACUGGAAUUUUAGAGAAG